Molecule: long non-coding RNA, 267 nt
Filed under: Nicotiana benthamiana
Lineage: Eukaryota; Viridiplantae; Streptophyta; Magnoliopsida; Solanales; Solanaceae
Description: long non-coding RNA (NBEN_LNC030415)
Source: RNAcentral
GCCUUUAGAACCUAACAAAUGAGUCCAUGUUGCUCUUGAAAAAUCAUCAACUAUUGUGAGAAAGUAUCUACAUCCAGAGAAAGUUGGAGUGUGAUAAGGUCCCCAGGUGUCACAUGAAUCAGUUGGAAUGGUUUAGAGGAUUUAAUGGAACUGUCAGGAAAGAAAGCCUAGUUUGUCUAGCCAUAGGGCAAACAGAACAAGGGAAAGGUUGUUUAGAAGCAAAAGGGAAUGAUAAACCAGAAAUACAUUUCAUGUGAGCAAAAGNNN